GAUGAACGCUAGCGGCAGGCUUAACACAUGCAAGUCGAGGGGCAUCACAUGAAGUAGCAAUACGGAUGGUGGCGACCGGCGCACGGGUGAGUAACACGUAUGCAACCUGCCUUCAACAAGGGGAUAACCCGUUGAAAGACGGACUAAUACCCUAUAACACAGGGGUCCCGCAUGGGAAUAUUUGUUAAAGGACAACCGGUUGAAGAUGGGCAUGCGUUCCAUUAGCUAGUUGGCGGGGUAACGGCCCACCAAGGCAACGAUGGAUAGGGGAACUGAGAGGUUUAUCCCCCAACUGGUACUGAGACACGGACCAGACUCCUACGGGAGGCAGCAGUGAGGAAUAUUGGUCAAUGGACGCAAGUCUGAACCAGCCACGUCGCGUGAAGGAAGACGGCCCUACGGGUUGUAAACUUCUUUUAUACGGGAAUAAAGUGCCCCACGCGUGGGGUUUUGCAUGUACCGUAUGAAUAAGGAUCGGCUAACUCCGUG
RNAcentral lists this ribosomal RNA (489 nucleotides) under uncultured bacterium. RNAcentral describes it as "bacterial SSU rRNA". It matches the Rfam family "Bacterial small subunit ribosomal RNA", at positions 28 to 507 of the family's 1533-position model. The record is from RNAcentral.